This 253-nucleotide ribosomal RNA is filed under the name uncultured bacterium. RNAcentral describes it as "partial 16S ribosomal RNA". It matches the Rfam family "Bacterial small subunit ribosomal RNA", at positions 524 to 776 of the family's 1533-position model. The record is from RNAcentral.
UACGUAGGGUGCAAGCGUUAAUCGGAAUUACUGGGCGUAAAGCGUGCGCAGGCGGUUGUGCAAGACAGAUGUGAAAUCCCCGGGCUUAACCUGGGAACUGCAUUUGUGACUGCACAGCUGGAGUGCGGCAGAGGGGGAUGGAAUUCCGCGUGUAGCAGUGAAAUGCGUAGAUAUGCGGAGGAACACCGAUGGCGAAAGCAGCUCUCUGGGCCACUACUGACGCUGAGAAGCGAAAGCAUGGGGAGCGAACAGG